This is a microRNA precursor of Gorilla gorilla gorilla (western lowland gorilla), 84 nucleotides long. The record is from Ensembl. NCBI's taxonomy places the organism in Eukaryota, Metazoa, Chordata, Mammalia, Primates, Hominidae.
GUAUUAGGUUGGUGCAAAGGUAAUUGCAGUUUUUGCCAUUAAAAUAAUGUCAAAACACGCAAUUACCUUUGCACCAACUUAAUA